RNAcentral lists this ribosomal RNA (450 nucleotides) under uncultured bacterium. RNAcentral's name for it is "partial 16S ribosomal RNA". It matches the Rfam family "Bacterial small subunit ribosomal RNA", at positions 354 to 796 of the family's 1533-position model. The record is from RNAcentral.
GUGAGGAAUUUUGCGCAAUGGCCGCAAGGCUGACGCAGCAACGCCGCGUGGGUGAUGAAGGCCUUCGGGUCGUAAAGCCCUGUCAGGUGGGAAGAAAGGCUUGGAGAAGCAACGCUUUGAGUUUGACGGUACCACCAGAGGAAGCACCGGCUAACUCCGUGCCAGCAGCCGCGGUAAUACGGAGGGUGCGAGCGUUAUUCGGAAUUACUGGGCGUAAAGCGCGUGUAGGCGGGGAUGCAAGUCUGAUGUGAAAGCCCUGGGCUUAACCUGGGAAGUGCAUUGGAAACUGCAUUUCUUGAGUACUGGAGAGGAAGGGGGAAUUCCCGGUGUAGAGGUGAAAUUCGUAGAGAUCGGGAGGAAUACCAGUGGCGUAGGCGCCCUUCUGGACGGUAACUGACGCUGAGACGCGAAAGCGUGGGGAGCAAACAGGAUUAGAAACCCUAGUAGUCC